GACGAACGCUGGCGGCGUGCUUAACACAUGCAAGUCGAACGGAAAGGCCCUGCUUUUGUGGGGCGCUCGAGUGGCGAACGGGUGAGUAACACGUGUGUAACCUGCCCUUGUCUUUGGGAUAACUUCAGGAAACUGGGGCUAAUACCGGAUAGGAGCUCCUGCUGCAUGGUGGGGGUUGGAAAGUUUCGGCGGUUGGGGAUGGACUCGCGGCUUAUCAGCUUGUUGGUGGGGUAGUGGCUUACCAAGGCUUUGACGGGUAGCCGGCAUGAGAGGGUGACCGGCCACAUUGGGACUGAGAUACGGAGCAGAAUCCAACGGGAGGCAGCAGUGGGGAAUAUUGCACAAUGGGCGGAAGCGUGAUGGAGAAACGCAGCGUGCGGGAUGACGGCCUUCGGGGUGAAAAAAGCUUUAGACUGUGACGAAGCGUGAGUGACGGUAAUGGGUAAAGAAGCAACGGCUAACUACGUG
RNAcentral lists this ribosomal RNA (468 nucleotides) under uncultured bacterium. RNAcentral's name for it is "partial 16S ribosomal RNA". It matches the Rfam family "Bacterial small subunit ribosomal RNA", at positions 28 to 507 of the family's 1533-position model. The record is from RNAcentral.